Molecule: ribosomal RNA, 253 nt
Filed under: uncultured bacterium
Lineage: Bacteria
Description: partial 16S ribosomal RNA
Rfam family: Bacterial small subunit ribosomal RNA
Source: RNAcentral
UACAGAGACUGCAAGCGUUAUUCGGAUUCACUGGGCGUAAAGGGUGCGCAGGCGGCCGUGUGUGUCAGGUGUGAAAGCCCGGAGCUUAACUCCGGAAUUGCGCCUGAAACUACAUGGCUAGAGCAUUGGAGAGGGUAGCGGAAUUCACGGUGUAGCAGUGAAAUGCGUAGAUAUCAAGAGGAACACCUGGGUAGAAGACGGGUUGCUGGGCCGACACUGACGCUGAGUGCGCGAAAGCCAGGGAGCAAACGGG